GCGAUCAUACCGGCACUAAUGCACCGGAUCCCAUCAGAACUCCGAAGUUAAGCGUGCUUGGGCGAGAGCAGUACUGGGAUGGUUGACCCCCUGGGAAGUCCUCGUGUUGCACCU
This 114-nucleotide ribosomal RNA is filed under the name Zingiber officinale. The record is from RNAcentral. Lineage: Eukaryota; Viridiplantae; Streptophyta; Magnoliopsida; Zingiberales; Zingiberaceae.